This 213-nucleotide ribosomal RNA is filed under the name uncultured bacterium. Its description in RNAcentral is "partial 16S ribosomal RNA". It matches the Rfam family "Bacterial small subunit ribosomal RNA", at positions 123 to 334 of the family's 1533-position model. The record is from RNAcentral.
AACCUAUCCUUUGAGUGGGGGAUACCGCUGGAAACCGGCGCUAAUACCGCAUGUGGUUCUCUUUCCGAGAGGGGGAGAAAGAAAGCAGUGAUGCGCUCAGAGGAGGGGCCUGCGUCCGAUUAGCUAGUUGGUGGGGUAAUGGCGUACCAAGGCAUCGAUCGGUAGCUGGUCUGAGAGGAUGGUCAGCCACACUGGGACUGAGACACGGCCCAG